This 95-nucleotide microRNA precursor is filed under the name Canis lupus familiaris (dog). Its description in RNAcentral is "mir-8799 microRNA precursor family". It matches the Rfam family "mir-8799 microRNA precursor family". The record is from Rfam by way of RNAcentral. Lineage: Eukaryota; Metazoa; Chordata; Mammalia; Carnivora; Canidae.
GGGGGGAGAGCUGGAUCCUGGGCUGGGUCCCCGGUGCCCAUGGGUUCCUGGGCCUGCUCGGCUGGAAUCCCACUCCCAGGGCUGUGCAGCUCCCU